UACGUAGGGGGCUAGCGUUAUCCGGAUUUACUGGGCGUAAAGGGUGCGUAGGUGGUUUCUUAAGUCAGGAGUGAAAGGCUACGGCUCAACCGUAGUAAGCUCUUGAAACUGGGAAACUUGAGUGCAGGAGAGGAAAGUGGAAUUCCUAGUGUAGCGGUGAAAUGCGUAGAUAUUAGGAGGAACACCAGUAGCGAAGGCGGCUUUCUGGACUGUAACUGACGCUGAGGCACGGAAAAGCGUGGGGGAGCAAACAGGAUUAGAUACCCCCGAGUCC
Molecule: ribosomal RNA, 274 nt
Filed under: uncultured bacterium
Lineage: Bacteria
Description: partial 16S ribosomal RNA
Rfam family: Bacterial small subunit ribosomal RNA
Source: RNAcentral